Long non-coding RNA from Lolium rigidum, 2217 nucleotides. RefSeq lists it as uncharacterized. The record is from RefSeq and is a predicted model, not a curated record. The transcript has 2 exons. Lineage: Eukaryota; Viridiplantae; Streptophyta; Magnoliopsida; Poales; Poaceae.
CAUCGGUGCAGGGGGUGGUGGUUGCGGGUUGCAUCGCAGUGAGUGGCAGACCCCCUGAGCUGUGUUGUGGGUCGAUUCACGGCGAGCGGAGAACGCCGGUGAACUUCAACGUAAGGUACGGUAGCUGGCCAUUCUGUUCUGUGAAAGUUUUUGUAUGUGAAAUCACCUAGGAUGAUGUCAAUUACAUCAUACUCUUCAUGGUAUGCAAAGAAAAUCCUUAACCUUACCCCUGGCCUCUUUCCGGUCAGUUCAUCUGGUAGGCAGAUGCACUGAUUCAGGUUAAAACUUAAAACUACCAACCACUAUUCUCUCAUCCCCAUCUUCAAUAGUUUGCAAAUGUCAUAUUUCAGAGGUCAAACUCUAGGAUUGAUAGAUUAUUCUAUUAGAAUGAGUAUAACCAACUGUAGAUUAAACACCUUUGAAAAAAAUACGAGAGCCAAGAGAGGCAGGACGUGUUUCAUUUUUGCACAGGGAUGAGUAAAGUUGGAUCUAGAGAGAACAAAUAGCAAGUACAGUGGAACUCGAAAGCACAAUCUAUCAUGUUAACAUUUUCAGCUUGCGGCACACGAUAAAACGACUUUCUGAAAAUGAAUAUAAAGUGAAUCCAAGAAUAAAGUUACUUUUACAAUUAUCAUUUUCUUAGGUUAUCUAUCCAUGUAAUAUACAUAAAAAUAUCAGGGCAAUAAAAUGCCUUUCCCUAUCAGACUUUUAUGGUCUAGUUGAGUAACAUGGGAUGGAGCUCAGGAAUAAAUGUCCAUUCGAGGACAUUGCAUAUGUAUUAACAAUUUACCAUUCUGAACAAAGCUCCUCUACUGAAACCGAACACGGUAGUUGUACUGUCUGAUUUAUACAAGAGACUCUCUGAAAUAUUCCCAGAAAUCUGAUGUUGUAAUGGUUCGUACCUCUUUUCUGCCAGACCUGAAUGUUUGCUGAAAAUUCAGCCUUUGUGCUAGCAAUUUCGAGUUGUUUUCAAAUAUUACGCUCCAUCCUUGUUAGUCACAAGCUUGUCUUGGGCAUGCUCCGCCUUAACCCGAACAAGCUGCAACACCUAUUUAACAACAACAGUUGGAGAGUCAUGUAUCUAUUUUCCUUGUCAGUGUUUUCUGAUUACCUAGAACUGAUGCAAUUGCUUCACUGCCGGUUCAUGUUUACUGUAUAUUUUUCACUAGGAUAAUGUGCUCUAGAUAGGAUGCUCCUGUUUGAGAAAUAACACUAGGUGACUCAGCUACAUACAUUUAAACAAAAAUGGGAAUAUAAUAAUACCAUCCUCAUAAAUUUAUUUUUAUUUUUCAUCUCUUAGGUGCAUCUUAUUUUAGUUGUUUUAGUAACUCUUAUUGUCUUGCUUUUGUGCAUGUGGUCUGAUGUUAGUGCUAGGAAGGCCACCACCAACAUUAGUAGACAAUGGUUUUGAGUCCCUCAAAGAUUGGUCCAGGUCGAGGAAAUCCCAGAACAAAGGUUGUUCCUUACGCUAGUGUCUUCCAUAGAACCCAACCACCGAAGAGCAGCAGGAGAAAUAAACAUUUAAGUUCCAAGCUACUUUCUCCUUUGAAGUUCCACCGAACAAAUUAGUGUGUCAGAUUCUUCUUGUAGUCUUGUUAGCGCCUUUGCUCUGCAGGAAAUCUUCGUAUGUGACAUAAGUUUGAUGCAAUCUAAUGUUAUAUGCAAUGCUUCCCUUGGCGUGAGAAAGUGCUCACGUGGUGAGGCUUUGGCUCUGUCUUUCAAGUACAGCGUGUUGACCUUGAUCGUUGGAGAGUCAGCUUCAUUGUAACAUUGACCCGGCAUUUUCAUUCAAUCCACUUAAUGCCUUAUGAUGGUAUCCUUUUAGUCUUGUGAAUUCUCAUCAAUAGUUUUUGUGUUGCAGACAGAGACGAAUCAGCAUAGCUCGCCUGCGUCAUCUUACAUGAUUUGAAUCAAACCAGGCCUUUACCCGAUUCUUUGGAGAAGUUCAGACCGAUGAAAAUUCAUAUCUAAAAAACUUGAUUUGAAACUCCCCUUGUACAUACUCUCCCUAAAACAAACUGCACUCUUGUAUAUAGCUGGAUAUCUUUAUUCUCGUGUCCUGUCCAUGUAAUGUACUACUUGCUUAUGAAUGCUUCCUUCUAUUGGAGUCAUCUAGCAGAUCAUAUCCGGAAUUGUUGUACUGCAAGAAUGAUUGAUGUCACCUAAGUGACAUUUUGUAAUUCACAUUUUUUAUGUCCCAUCGUAUACCAUAUUUUA